RNAcentral lists this long non-coding RNA (387 nucleotides) under Homo sapiens (human). RNAcentral's name for it is "HSALNT0349695". The record is from RNAcentral. Lineage: Eukaryota; Metazoa; Chordata; Mammalia; Primates; Hominidae.
GGCCGCCACAGUGCUUUCCCCUCACAGUGCACAAUUUGCCAAUGAGUUCAAAGUGUCUCCGUAACUUCAUGCCAUUUCUUCUGAAGCCAAGCCAGUCUCCUCACCUGAAAAAUGGGAAGAGCAAAAUAUCCUACCCUAGAGGGUUGCUGUGAGAGCCGAAAGCGUCUAUCCACGUGAAGCACAUGGGACAGAGCCUGGCACAAAGAAAAUGCUUCCCAGCUCCAUCAGCCCACCGCCCCCUCUGGCCUUCCCUCAAGAGCAGCCACUGGGCCUUGGUUGCCAUGGAGACAGUUUCCCUCAGAGGCUUUGCCUCCCAUCUUCUUUUCUUUUCUUUUCUUUUUUCUUUUUUUUUAAUUUGAGACAAGAUCUCGCUUUGUCACCCGGCCU